Molecule: ribosomal RNA, 256 nt
Filed under: uncultured Pseudomonas sp.
Lineage: Bacteria; Pseudomonadati; Pseudomonadota; Gammaproteobacteria; Pseudomonadales; Pseudomonadaceae
Description: partial 16S ribosomal RNA
Rfam family: Bacterial small subunit ribosomal RNA
Source: RNAcentral
CGGCGGACGGGUGAGUAAUGCCUAGGAAUCUGCCUGGUAGUGGGGGACAACGUUUCGAAAGGAACGCUAAUACCGCAUACGUCCUACGGGAGAAAGCAGGGACCUUCGGGCCUUGCGCUAUCAGAUGAGCCUAGGUCGGAUUAGCUAGUUGGUGAGGUAAUGGCCCACCAAGGCGACGAUCCGUAGCUGGUCUGAGAGGAUGAUCAGCCACACUGGAACUGAGACACGGUCCAGACUCCUACGGGAGGCAGCAGUG